CGUUACCGACCCUACCGCCUGCCCACUACCCGGCCACGGUACCAAUCCAAUCGCCUCGGGCUCCCCCGACGU
RNAcentral lists this small RNA (72 nucleotides) under Pseudomonas chlororaphis. RNAcentral's name for it is "P10". It matches the Rfam family "Pseudomonas sRNA P10". Lineage: Bacteria; Pseudomonadati; Pseudomonadota; Gammaproteobacteria; Pseudomonadales; Pseudomonadaceae. The record is from RNAcentral.